CAACCUCAACUCAUAUGGGACUACCCCCUGAAUUUAAGCAUAUUAAUUAGGGGAGGAAAAGAAACUAACAAGGAUUUUCUUAGUAGCGGCGAGCGAAAAGAAAUUAGUUCAGCACUAAGUCACUUUAUCUAUAUGGCAAAUGUGAGAUGCAGUGUACGGAACAUCAACAUUCUAGUAUGAGAAGUUAACGAUUUAUGUCCUUCUUAAAUGAGGCUAUUUACCCAUAGAGGGUGCCAGGCCCGUAUAACGUUAAUGAUUACUAGAUGGUGUUUCCAGAGAGUCGUGUUGCUUGAUAGUGCAGCACUAAGUGGGUGGUAAGCUCCAUCUAAAACUAAAUAUAACCAUGAGACCGAUAGUAAACAAGUACCGUGAGGGAAAGUGGAAAAGAACUCUGAAUAGAGAGUUAAAUAGUACGUGAAACUGCUUAAAGGUAAAGCCCGAUGAACCUGAAUAUCCGUUAUGGAAAAUUCAUCAUUAGAAUUGUAAUAUUUUAAACAAUAUUAUAAUAAUAGUGUGCAUUUUUUCCAUAUAAGGACAUUUUAAUCUAUUAGCAUAAAUAUUUAUCAUAAAAUUAUGUCUGAUUGCUUAUUUGAAUUAUAUGCUUGGCAUUUUAACAUAAAAUAAAAGAUAUAAAUUUGAUAAAGUGCUGAUAGAUUUAUAUGAUUACAGUGCGUUAAUUUUUCGGAAUUAUAUAAUGGCAUAAUUAUCAUUGAUAUUUGUGUUUAUUAUAUGCAUUUGUAUGAUUAACAAUGCGAAAGAUUCAGGAUACCUUCGGGA
RNAcentral lists this non-coding RNA (777 nucleotides) under Drosophila virilis. Its description in RNAcentral is "Eukaryotic large subunit ribosomal RNA". It matches the Rfam family "Eukaryotic large subunit ribosomal RNA", at positions 1 to 647 of the family's 3401-position model. Lineage: Eukaryota; Metazoa; Arthropoda; Insecta; Diptera; Drosophilidae. The record is from Rfam by way of RNAcentral.